GGCUGGGUAGCUCAUUUGGUAGAGCACUGGUCCGUUAUUCCAGAGGCCGCUGGUUCAAAUCCUGCUCCAGUCA
Acanthaster planci (crown-of-thorns starfish) is the source of this 73-nucleotide non-coding RNA. The record is from the annotation of a RefSeq genome assembly. NCBI's taxonomy places the organism in Eukaryota, Metazoa, Echinodermata, Asteroidea, Valvatida, Acanthasteridae.